UAGGGAAUAUUGCAAAAUGGGCGAAAGCCCGAUGCAGCAACGCCGCGUGGGCGAUGAAGGCCUUCGGGUCGUAAAGCCCUUUUUGAGGGGAUGAGUAAGGACAGUACCCUCAGAAUAAGCCUCGGCUAACUACGUGCCAGCAGCCGCGGUAAAACGUAGGAGGCGAGCGUUAUCCGGAUUUACUGGGCGUAAAGCGCGUGCAGGCGGAUUGGAGAGUUGGAUGUGAAAGCUCCCGGCUUAACUGGGAGAGGUCGUUCAAUACUUCCAGUCUUGAGUGCGGUAGAGGGAAGUGGAAUUCCGGGUGUAGUGGUGAAAUGCGUAGAUAUCCGGAGGAACACCAGUGGCGAAAGCGGCUUCCUGGACUGUAACUGACGCUCAGACGAGAAAGCUAGGGUAGCAAACG
RNAcentral lists this ribosomal RNA (403 nucleotides) under uncultured bacterium. RNAcentral describes it as "bacterial SSU rRNA". It matches the Rfam family "Bacterial small subunit ribosomal RNA", at positions 355 to 774 of the family's 1533-position model. The record is from RNAcentral.